UGCANGUCGAACGGCAGCGCGGGGCAACCUGGCGGCGAGUGGCGAACGGGUGAGUAAUAUAUCGGAACGUACCCUGGAGUGGGGGAUAACGUAGCGAAAGUUACGCUAAUACCGCAUACGAUCUAAGGAUGAAAGUGGGGGAUUCGCAAGAACCUCAUGCUCCUGGAGCGGCCGAUAUCUGAUUAGUUAGUUGGUGGGGUAAAGGCCUACCAAGGCAUCGAUCAGUAGCUGGUCUGAGAGGACGACCAGCCACACUGGAACUGAGACACGGUCCAGACUCCUACGGGAGGCAGCAGUGGGGAAUUUUGGACAAUGGGCGCAAGCCUGAUCCAGCAAUGCCGCGUGAGUGAAGAAGGCCUUCGGGUUGUAAAGCUCUUUUGUCAGGGAAGAAACGGUGUUUUCUAAUACAGAAUGCUAAUGACGGUACCUGAAGAAUAAGCACCGGCUAACUACGUGCCAGUAGCCGCGGUAAUACGUAGGGUGCAAGCGUUAAUCGGAAUUACUGGGCGUAAAGCGUGCGCAGGCGGUUUUGUAAGUCUGUCGUGAAAUCCCCGGGCUCAACCUGGGAAUGGCGAUGGAGACUGCAAGGCUAGAGUUUGGCAGAGGGGGGUAGAAUUCCACGUGUAGCAGUGAAAUGCGUAGAUAUGUGGAGGAACACCGAUGGCGAAGGCAGCCCCCUGGGUCAAGACUGACGCUCAUGCACGAAAG
RNAcentral lists this ribosomal RNA (708 nucleotides) under uncultured beta proteobacterium. RNAcentral describes it as "bacterial SSU rRNA". It matches the Rfam family "Bacterial small subunit ribosomal RNA", at positions 56 to 759 of the family's 1533-position model. Lineage: Bacteria; Pseudomonadati; Pseudomonadota; Betaproteobacteria. The record is from RNAcentral.